AUUGAACGCUGGCGACAUGCCUUACACAUGCAAGUCGAACGGCAGCACGGGUGCUUGCACCUGGUGGCGAGUGGCGAACGGGUGAGUAAUACAUCGGAACAUGUCCUGUAGUGGGGGAUAGCCCGGCGAAAGCCGGAUUAAUACCGCAUACGAUCUACGGAUGAAAGCGGGGGACCUUCUGGCCUCGCGCUAUAGGGUUGGCCGAUGGCUGAUUAGCUAGUUGGUGGGGUAAAGGCCUACCAAGGCGACGAUCAGUAGCUGGUCUGAGAGGACGACCAGGCACCCUGGGACUGAGACACGGCCCAGACUCCUACGGGAGGCAGCAGUGGGGAAUUUUGGACAAUGGGCGAAAGCCUGAUCCAGCAAUGCCGCGUGUGUGAAGAAGGCCUUCGGGUUGUAAAGCACUUUUGUCCGGAAAGAAAUCCUUGGCCCUAAUACGGUCGGGGGAUGACGGUACCGGAAGAAUAAGCACCGGCUAACUACGUG
This 486-nucleotide ribosomal RNA is filed under the name uncultured bacterium. RNAcentral's name for it is "partial 16S ribosomal RNA". It matches the Rfam family "Bacterial small subunit ribosomal RNA", at positions 30 to 507 of the family's 1533-position model. The record is from RNAcentral.